GGGAAAGCGGAAGCCGGGAAUGGAGAGCCCGGUGCAAGCGGGGUACCAGUCACUUUGGCAAAUCCGGGGCAAUGGGAAGCCGUGAUGCGGAGCGAAAUAAAGUAGCGAAGUCCGUGAGCCAUGCGUCAAGAAAAGCCGCUAUCGUUUAUACCGUACCCGUACCGUAAACCGACACAGGUGGAUGAGGAGAGAAUCCUAAGGCCGGCGGAAGAAGCAUUGUCAAGGAACUCGGCAAAAUGGCCCCGUAACUUAGGGAUAAGGGGUGCCUGGGAAACCAGGCCGCAGAGAAUAGGCUCAAGCAACUGUUUAGCAAAAACACAGGUCUAUGCGAAACCGAAAGGUGAGGUAUAUGGGCUGACGCCUGCCCGGUGCUGGAAGGUUAAGAGGAGAGGUUAGCGGUAACGCGAAGCUUUGAAUUUAAGCCCCAGUAAACGGCGGCCGUAACUAUAACGGUCCUAAGGUAGCGAAAUUCCUUGUCGGGUAAGUUCCGACCCGCACGAAAGGCGUAAUGAUUUGAGCGCUGUCUCGACAAUGCAUCCGGUGAAAUUGAAGUACCAGUGAAGAUGCUGGUUACCUGCGCCAGGACGGAAAGACCCCAUGGAGCUUUACUCCAGUCUGGUACUGGGACUCGGUAUUGCAUGUACAGGAUAGGUGGGAGGCUAGGAGAUGGUAACGCCAGUUGCCAUGGAGCCGCUGUUGGGAUACCACCCUUGCAGUAUUGGGUUUCUAACCAGCCGCCGUGACCCGGCGGUGGGACAAUGCCAGACGGGGAGUUUGACUGGGGCGGUCGCCUCCGAAAGGGUAUCGGAGGCGCCCAAAGGUUCCCUCAGAAUGGACGGAAACCAUUCGAAGAGUGCAAAGGCAGAAGGGAGCUUGACUGCGACACCGACGGGUGGAGCAGGUACGAAAGUAGGGCUUAGUGAUCCGGUGGUAUUAAGUGGGAAUGCCAUCGCUCAACGGAUAAAAGCUACCCUGGGAUAACAGGCUUAUCACUCCCAAGAGUUCACAUCGACGGAGUGGUUUGGCACCUCGAUGUCGGCUCAUCGCAUCCUGGGGCUGUAGUAGGUCCCAAGGGUUGGGCUGCUCGCCCAUUAAAGCGGUACGCGAGCUGGGUUCAGAACGUCGUGAGACAGUUCGGUCCCUAUCCGGCGUGGGCGUAGGAUAUCUGAGAGGAGCUGUCCUUAGUACGAGAGGACCGGGAUGGACGGGCCGCUGGUGCAUCGGUUAGACUGCCAAGUCUACGGCCGAGUAGCCAAGCCCGGAAGGGAUAAACGCUGAAGGCAUCUAAGCGUGAAGCCCCCCUUAAGAUGAGAUAUCCCAUUCGUUAAGAAGUAAACCCCCUUGAAGACGACGAGGUAGAUAGGGCAGAGGUGGAAGUGCAGUAAUGCAUGGAGCUGACUGUUACUAAUCGGGUGAGGGCUUGACC
This 1426-nucleotide ribosomal RNA is filed under the name metagenome. RNAcentral describes it as "bacterial LSU rRNA". It matches the Rfam family "Bacterial large subunit ribosomal RNA", at positions 1479 to 2925 of the family's 2925-position model. The record is from RNAcentral.